CCUACGGGAGGCAGCAGUGAGGAAUAUUGGUCAAUGGGCGAGAGCCUGAACCAGCCAAGUUGCGUGAGGGAAGACGGUCCUAUGGAUUGUAAACCUCUUUUGUCGGGGAGCAAAAAGGCCUCGUGAGGCCUCAAGUGAGAGUACCCGAAGACAAAGCAUCUGCUAACUCCGUGCCAGCAGCCGCGGUAAUAAGUAGGUUGCAAGCGUUGUCCGGAUUUACUGGGUGGAAAGGGCGUGUAGCCGGGCUGACAAGUCAGAUGUGAAAUCCGGGGGCUCAACCCCCGAACUGCAUUUGAAAUUGUUGGUCUUGAGUAUCGGAGAGGCAGGCGGAAUUCCUAGUGUAGCGGUGAAAUGCGUAGAUAUUCAGAGGAACCCCAGUGGCGAAGGCGGCCUGCUGGACGACAACUGACGGUGAGGCGCGAAAGCGUGGGGAGCAAACAGGAUUAGAUACCCUGGUAGUC
This 461-nucleotide ribosomal RNA is filed under the name uncultured bacterium. Its description in RNAcentral is "partial 16S ribosomal RNA". It matches the Rfam family "Bacterial small subunit ribosomal RNA", at positions 338 to 795 of the family's 1533-position model. The record is from RNAcentral.